ACCGAGAUAGCUCACUUGGUAGAGCAGCUGCCCGGUAGGCGGAGAGUCGUCGGUUCGACUCCGACUCGCGGCU
RNAcentral lists this transfer RNA (73 nucleotides) under Fasciola gigantica. It matches the Rfam family "tRNA". Rfam says of the family: Transfer RNA (tRNA) molecules are approximately 80 nucleotides in length. Their secondary structure includes four short double-helical elements and three loops (D, anti-codon, and T loops). Further hydrogen bonds mediate the characteristic L-shaped molecular structure. tRNAs have two regions of fundamental functional importance: the anti-codon, which is responsible for specific mRNA codon recognition, and the 3' end, to which the tRNAs corresponding amino acid is attached (by aminoacyl-tRNA synthetases). tRNAs cope with the degeneracy of the genetic code in two manners: having more than one tRNA (with a specific anti-codon) for a particular amino acid; and 'wobble' base-pairing, i.e. permitting non-standard base-pairing at the 3rd anti-codon position. Lineage: Eukaryota; Metazoa; Platyhelminthes; Trematoda; Plagiorchiida; Fasciolidae. The record is from Rfam by way of RNAcentral.